Molecule: ribosomal RNA, 372 nt
Filed under: uncultured bacterium
Lineage: Bacteria
Description: bacterial SSU rRNA
Rfam family: Bacterial small subunit ribosomal RNA
Source: RNAcentral
GGAGGGGGCAAGCGUUGUUCGGAAUCAUUGGGCGUAAAGGGCGUGUAGGCGGUCGAUCAAGUCGGAGGUGAAAUCCCUCGGCUCAACUGAGGAAUUGCCUUCGAUACUGUUCGGCUUGAGUCCUGGAGAGGGUAGCGGAAUUCCCGGUGUAGCGGUGAAAUGCGUAGAGACCGGGAAGAACACCAGUGGCGAAGGCGGCUACCUGGACAGGUACUGACGCUAACAGCGCGAAAGCUAGGGGAGCAAACAGGAUUAGAUACCCUGGUAGUCCUAGCUGUAAACGAUGGGCACUUGGUGUUGCGGGUAUCGACCCCUGCAGUGCCGAAGCUAACGCAUUAAGUGCCCCGCCUGGGGAGUACGGUCGCAAGGCUG